This 301-nucleotide ribosomal RNA is filed under the name uncultured bacterium. RNAcentral describes it as "partial 16S ribosomal RNA". It matches the Rfam family "Bacterial small subunit ribosomal RNA", at positions 509 to 807 of the family's 1533-position model. The record is from RNAcentral.
CAGCAGCCGCGGGAAUACGAAGGUCCCGAGCGUUGUUCGGAAUUACUGGGCGUAAAGCGUGCGCAGGCGGUUUGUUAAGACAGAUGUGAAAUCCCCGGGCUCAACCUGGGAACUGCAUUUGUGACUGGCAAGCUAGAGUGUGGCAGAGGGGGGUGGAAUUCCGCGUGUAGCAGUGAAAUGCGUAGAUAUGCGGAGGAACACCGAUGGCGAAGGCAGCCCCCUGGGCCAACACUGACGCUCAUGCACGAAAGCGUGGGGAGCAAACAGGAUUAGAUACCCCCGUAGUCCCUGUCUCUUAUAC